This 73-nucleotide transfer RNA is filed under the name Callorhinchus milii (elephant shark). RNAcentral's name for it is "tRNA-Thr (CGT) (tRNA-Thr-CGT-36-1)". The stretch from base 5 to 67 matches the Rfam family "tRNA", at positions 6 to 65 of the family's 71-position model. From Rfam's summary of the family: Transfer RNA (tRNA) molecules are approximately 80 nucleotides in length. Their secondary structure includes four short double-helical elements and three loops (D, anti-codon, and T loops). Further hydrogen bonds mediate the characteristic L-shaped molecular structure. tRNAs have two regions of fundamental functional importance: the anti-codon, which is responsible for specific mRNA codon recognition, and the 3' end, to which the tRNAs corresponding amino acid is attached (by aminoacyl-tRNA synthetases). tRNAs cope with the degeneracy of the genetic code in two manners: having more than one tRNA (with a specific anti-codon) for a particular amino acid; and 'wobble' base-pairing, i.e. permitting non-standard base-pairing at the 3rd anti-codon position. The record is from RNAcentral. Lineage: Eukaryota; Metazoa; Chordata; Chondrichthyes; Chimaeriformes; Callorhinchidae.
GCCGGUUAGCUGAGUUGGUUAAAGCGUGGUGCUCGUAACGCCAAGGUCGCGGGUUCAAUCCCCGUACGGUUCA